AAACUUUCAACAACGGAUCUCUUGGUUCCGGCAUCGAUGAAGAACGCAGCGGAAAUGCGAUAAUUAAUGUGAAUUGCAGAAUUCAGUGAAUCAUCGAGUCUUUGAACGCACAUUGCGCCCCCUGGUAUUCCGGGGGGCAUGCCUGUCCGAGCGUCAU
This 157-nucleotide ribosomal RNA is filed under the name Aspergillus pseudoglaucus. RNAcentral describes it as "5.8S rRNA". It matches the Rfam family "5.8S ribosomal RNA". From Rfam's summary of the family: 5.8S ribosomal RNA (5.8S rRNA) is a component of the large subunit of the eukaryotic ribosome. Lineage: Eukaryota; Fungi; Ascomycota; Eurotiomycetes; Eurotiales; Aspergillaceae. The record is from RNAcentral.